RNAcentral lists this transfer RNA (83 nucleotides) under Prosthecochloris aestuarii. It matches the Rfam family "tRNA". Rfam says of the family: Transfer RNA (tRNA) molecules are approximately 80 nucleotides in length. Their secondary structure includes four short double-helical elements and three loops (D, anti-codon, and T loops). Further hydrogen bonds mediate the characteristic L-shaped molecular structure. tRNAs have two regions of fundamental functional importance: the anti-codon, which is responsible for specific mRNA codon recognition, and the 3' end, to which the tRNAs corresponding amino acid is attached (by aminoacyl-tRNA synthetases). tRNAs cope with the degeneracy of the genetic code in two manners: having more than one tRNA (with a specific anti-codon) for a particular amino acid; and 'wobble' base-pairing, i.e. permitting non-standard base-pairing at the 3rd anti-codon position. Lineage: Bacteria; Pseudomonadati; Chlorobiota; Chlorobiia; Chlorobiales; Chlorobiaceae. The record is from RNAcentral. RNAcentral also lists the same sequence under 3 other names.
GGAGGAUUAGCAUAAUUGGUAAUGCAGCAGUCUUGAAAACUGCCGGGUUUACGCCCUUGGGGGUUCGAGUCCCUCAUCCUCCG